CAGCCCUACGGGGCGCAGCAGUGGGGAAUAUUGCACAAUGGGGGAAACCCUGAUGCAGCGACGCCGCGUGAGUGAAGAAGUAUCUCGGUACGUAAAGCUCUAUCAGCAGGGAAGAAAAAAAGUCCUUUGGACUUUGGACGGUACCUGACCAAGAAGCCCCGGCUAACUACGUGCCAGCAGCCGCGGUAAUACGUAGGGGGCAAGCGUUAUCCGGAUUUACUGGGUGUAAAGGGAGCGUAGGUGGCAAGGCAAGUCAGAUGUGAAAACCCGGGGCCCAACCCCGGGAGUGCCUUUGAAACUGUCUG
This 305-nucleotide ribosomal RNA is filed under the name uncultured bacterium. Its description in RNAcentral is "bacterial SSU rRNA". It matches the Rfam family "Bacterial small subunit ribosomal RNA", at positions 334 to 639 of the family's 1533-position model. The record is from RNAcentral.